UGAGACAGUUGCAGAAGAAGAACUUGUCCCCCCGGGGCGGAAGCGAUUAGGACUCCCACCGCUUUCCCUUUCGGACUUGCGGGGGAAGGUCAGCCCGAAUGUUCUAUUCCAAAGCGGGCCUCUCGUCAGUCUCCACCUGUCCGCCACACCUGCCGUUUGGAUUACCUGCCGCUCCGCCUGAAAAACCGUCUUGCACGGAUGUUAUUUUUACUCUUCCUUAGACAAAGCUACUUGAAGAAAAUUGUUUGAAUAAGGCUUCUUCGGCUACAAGAUGAAGGAGUAGAAAAUAGUUAUUUGUUGCUAUUUGUUUCUGAAGAACCGGAUAUUCAGAUUCGAAUCUUCAGUUAUAGCUACAUCUGACAACCGCCGAGGUAACGUUUCCGAAACACAGCAGAGCAGAUGGUUUUCUUUCGUAACGGACAACCCGGAGUUUUGCGGCACUGUAGGGAACAUGUCCCUGCUGCUCAACCACAAUACAGAGCUCCUCUUUUGUGAACGUAUUCAAUCCGAUCGCUACAAUCUCUCAAUGCCUGAUUUUUUUUUUCGCUUCUACAGCUGGUGACACUCCAAGUGACUAAUUGAAUCG
This is a long non-coding RNA of Stegodyphus dumicola, 586 nucleotides long. The record is from RefSeq and is a predicted model, not a curated record. NCBI's taxonomy places the organism in Eukaryota, Metazoa, Arthropoda, Arachnida, Araneae, Eresidae.